RNAcentral lists this ribosomal RNA (465 nucleotides) under uncultured Klebsiella sp. RNAcentral describes it as "bacterial SSU rRNA". It matches the Rfam family "Bacterial small subunit ribosomal RNA", at positions 338 to 795 of the family's 1533-position model. Lineage: Bacteria; Pseudomonadati; Pseudomonadota; Gammaproteobacteria; Enterobacterales; Enterobacteriaceae. The record is from RNAcentral.
CCUACGGGUGGCUGCAGUGGGGAAUAUUGCACAAUGGGCGCAAGCCUGAUGCAGCCAUGCCGCGUGUGUGAAGAAGGCCUUCGGGUUGUAAAGCACUUUCAGCGGGGAGGAAGGCGGUGAGGUUAAUAACCUCAUCGAUUGACGUUACCCGCAGAAGAAGCACCGGCUAACUCCGUGCCAGCAGCCGCGGUAAUACGGAGGGUGCAAGCGUUAAUCGGAAUUACUGGGCGUAAAGCGCACGCAGGCGGUCUGUCAAGUCGGAUGUGAAAUCCCCGGGCUCAACCUGGGAACUGCAUUCGAAACUGGCAGGCUAGAGUCUUGUAGAGGGGGGUAGAAUUCCAGGUGUAGCGGUGAAAUGCGUAGAGAUCUGGAGGAAUACCGGUGGCGAAGGCGGCCCCCUGGACAAAGACUGACGCUCAGGUGCGAAAGCGUGAGGAGCAAACAGGAUUAGAUACCCUAGUAGUC